This 1158-nucleotide ribosomal RNA is filed under the name human gut metagenome. Its description in RNAcentral is "bacterial LSU rRNA". It matches the Rfam family "Bacterial large subunit ribosomal RNA", at positions 1326 to 2497 of the family's 2925-position model. The record is from RNAcentral.
AAACCCCCUCGCCGAAAGACUAAGGUUUCCUGAUCAACGCUAAUCGGAUCAGGGUUAGUCGGGUCCUAAGGCUCAGCCGAACGGUGAGGCCGAUGGCAGAACAGGUUAAUAUUCCUGUACUACCUUAAAGAGUGACGUGGAGACGGAGGCGUGACAGCGCCGCGGACUGACGGAAUAGUCCGUUGAAGGGUGUAGAUGUUGAUUAUCCCAGGCAAAUCCGGGAUAAGAGUCGAACCUGAUAGUAUGGAGCGUUCUUCGGAACAAUCCAAUAGUGCGUGUAAUCAUACUCCCAAGAAAAUCCGCUAAACUUAAUCCUUAAGGUACCCGUACCGCAAACGGACACACGUAGUCGGGUUGAAUAUACUAAGGCGCUUGAGUGAUUCACGGUUAAGGAACUAGGCAAAUUGACCCUGUAACUUCGGGAUAAAGGGUCCCAACGAGAGUUGGGCGCAGAGAAUAGGUCCAGGCAACUGUUUAACAAAAACACAGGGCUGUGCGAAAUUGAAAGAUAAUGUAUACAGCCUGACACCUGCCCGGUGCUGGAAGGUUAAGAGGAGAUGUCAUCGCAAGAGAAGCAUUGAAUUGAAGCCCCAGUAAACGGCGGCCGUAACUAUAACGGUCCUAAGGUAGCGAAAUUCCUUGUCGGGUAAGUUCCGACCUGCACGAAUGGUGUAAUGAUCUGGACACUGUCUCAACCGUGAGCUCAGUGAAAUUGUAGUAUCGGUGAAGAUGCCGAUUACCCGCGAUGGGACGAAAAGACCCCGUGAACCUUUACUAUAGCUUAACAUUGAAUUUGGGUAAUUGAUGUGUAGGAUAGGCCGGAGGCUUCGAAGCGGGCACGCCAGUGUCCGUGGAGCCGCUGUUGAAAUACGGCCCUUUGAUUAUUUGAGUUCUAACCCGUUGUUGCGGGGACACUGUUUGGUGGGUAGUUUGACUGGGGUGGUCGCCUCCAAAAGUGUAACGGAGGCUUCUAAAGGUGCCCUCACGACGAUUGGUAACCGUCGGCAGAGUGUAAUGGCAUAAGGGCGCUUGACUGGGAGACUUACAAGUCGAUCAGGUAGGAAACUAGAGCAUAGUGAUCCGGUGUUUCCGUAUGGAAGGGACAUCGCUCAAAGGAUAAAAGGUACUCCGGGGAUAACAGGCUGAUCCCUCCCAAGA